CUAAAGACUCAUUUACUCCACCGAUCAUGCCCAAUCGGUUUCUGGAUGUUCACAGUUGCUAGGUGCCCGCCGGUGUUGAUGGUUAGCCAGUCGAGUUGGCUGGCAGAGAGCGGUGAGCAGUUAUGGUGUGCCCAGACGAGGUAAGAAGACCUGGGUUUGCUGGUUUCAGCGAAGAAGAUGACUGAUAUACUAAGAUGACAGAUUUGCCCUCACAAUUUUGACAGAAAUCACACAAAUUAACGGAGUAAUUGCCGGUGUGUACAUAAGUUGGUUCGUGCUUUUAACUUCACACACUAUUGUGGUAUUAUCGAAAGUAAAAUCACCAUAAUUCUCAGUGGUCAAUGGAAAUAG
RNAcentral lists this long non-coding RNA (351 nucleotides) under Fragaria vesca (wild strawberry). RNAcentral describes it as "long non-coding RNA (FVES_LNC002195)". The record is from RNAcentral. Lineage: Eukaryota; Viridiplantae; Streptophyta; Magnoliopsida; Rosales; Rosaceae.